GAAAUUCUUCGGGGUAGGGUGACUUCUUAUCGCUAUAGUAUAAGCAGAAUUCCCAACCGGCGGUUACAGUCCGCGACCUGUCAGAUUUCUGACAGCUGAUUUGGUGCAAUUCCAAAACCGACAGUAAAGUCUGGAUGAGAGAAGAAAAAG
This is a non-coding RNA of Coprococcus comes CAG:19, 150 nucleotides long. The record is from Rfam. NCBI's taxonomy places the organism in Bacteria, Bacillati, Bacillota, Clostridia, Lachnospirales, Lachnospiraceae.